Long non-coding RNA from Nicotiana tabacum (common tobacco), 438 nucleotides. RefSeq lists it as uncharacterized. Lineage: Eukaryota; Viridiplantae; Streptophyta; Magnoliopsida; Solanales; Solanaceae. The record is from RefSeq and is a predicted model, not a curated record.
CUAACUCUUAGGUAGAACUAAUUUUACAAAAAUAGCCAUGAAGGUUCUUGUAUUAGUUUCAUGGCUUUGCCUCAUUAUAUUCUUGCAAAUUUUGCCAUACUCCACUUGCAAAUUCACCCCAAAAUCCACAAAUCAUGAACUUAUCUUCCCUAAUGAAAACAAAGAAAAGAUUGCAAAUAAUGAAAGAAAGGAUGUGCAUAAAGUUGUUCAUCAGAGAAGAGGAGUAUAUGGUGGAGCAGACCUUCUUCGCAAAGGACCUAAAAAGAAUGGAGCCAAUUAUAUAUUUGAAAAGCCAAUUUUAGUGUCUUCUUUCUUCUUGUUUCUUUUUGUUGCCUUCACUCUCUAAGAUUUGCUAUAGUUAUGAUAGUUGGAAAAGAUUGGUUUCUCUCUCUUUCCCUUUUUAGAUAUAUUCUCAUUUUUUUUAUUGAGGUUAUAGCA